Molecule: long non-coding RNA, 640 nt
Organism: Carassius auratus (goldfish)
Lineage: Eukaryota; Metazoa; Chordata; Actinopteri; Cypriniformes; Cyprinidae
Exons: 3
Source: RefSeq, a predicted model, not a curated record
CGGAAACAAAGACACCUACAUCUUGGACGUCCUUAAGAUAUUCUCACGUCACAUUGUGGGGUUCACGUAUCAUCGGAAGAACGAUUCAACCAAUGAAAUUGAAGCAGAGGCCGAGUCAGGAAAUUUGAACAUGUGGAAGGAAUACUUCAGACAGAUACGUUACUGACACUUCGUGGGAGGCAUUUAUUCCAAGGUAAGUUCAUUUACCAUGUAUUUUCAUGAAAAAAAAUCAGAUUUCUAACAUUUAAUAAGAUAAUUAGCAAACAAAGAUGCACAGAACAAGUAAUCAUGGAUUAAAUAUUAUAUAGUAUGCAUUUUCACUUGACUGCUUCAUCAGUUGAUUACACCAAAGCUAGUUAUGAGAUAUCUGGAGUAAAACAUGCUUUUCCAAUGCUUCCACGCUGUCUGUAAAACCAAUAUGAGCGACAAAAGAACUCUCCUUGAAAUUAGAUCAGUCAGUUAGCGUUAGCAUUAGCUUUAGCACUGCUCUCAGGGCAGGAGUACUCAAUAUUGAUAUUACUGUUAUUUUUAAUGAACUGUGUGCUGCUUACAGGGCAAGAGUAUUCAAUAUUUAAAUGUAUACUAUUUUAUGCUAUUCAAAUUACUAUUAUUUUACUAAACUAUGUGCUGCUUUCAGGGC